Molecule: ribosomal RNA, 456 nt
Filed under: uncultured bacterium
Lineage: Bacteria
Description: bacterial SSU rRNA
Rfam family: Bacterial small subunit ribosomal RNA
Source: RNAcentral
UACGGGAGGCAGCAGUGGGGAAUAUUGCACAAUGGGCGCAAGCCUGAUGCAGCCAUGCCGCGUGUAUGAAAAAGGCCUUCGGGUUGUAAAGUACUUUCAGUCGUGAGGAAGGUGUUAAGGUUAAUAACCUUAGCAAUUGACGUUAGCGACAGAAGAAGCACCGGCUAACUCCGUGCCAGCAGCCGCGGUAAUACGGAGGGUGCGAGCGUUAAUCGGAAUUACUGGGCGUAAAGGGCACGCAGGCGGUUAAUUAAGUUGGAUGUGAAAUCCCCGGGCUUAACCUGGGAAUGGCAUUCAAGACUGGUUAGCUAGAGUCUUGUAGAGGGGGUAGAAUUCCAUGGUGUAGCGGUGAAAUGCGUAGAGAUGUGGAGGAAUACCGGUGGCGAAGGCGGCCCCUGGACAAAGACCUGACGCUCAUGUGCGAAAGCGUGGGGAGCAAACGAGGGAUUAGAUACC